GGGAUUCAGGCGAUAGGGCCAAGAAAAAAGAGAAGGAAGUGGAGGAGAGAGAAAGCAAAGUGCAAGAGAGAGAGAGGUGAACAGGGGAGGGAUAAAAGGGCAGCAAAAGGAGUGAGCACACAAAUACAGAAACAGCAAGCGCCCCUCUCUCUAUCUCGACUCCUCUGCCCCCUUUCUCCCACCUCAAAGACAUUUCGUCCCUCCUCUCCUCCUCCCUCCCUCUCUCCCACCGGUACAAGUAGCAGCAGGCCUCCCUCAGCACUGUACCUCUAGCUCCUGCAUCCACCCUGCGUACCUCGAGUCGGGGAGCGAGGCGGUGGCUGCAUUGCUUGCCUCCUACAGGCCGCAAGAUUCGUGGUAUUUGCCCGUCAGAAUCCCAUCCCUGUGCGAGGUUGCUGCGGCGAGCCGGCCGAUUUGGGGCCUAAUUCGGUCCAAGAUUUGAGCCUCCCGGAUCAGAGAUCGCGCCAAGCUCGAGGGUGGUGGCCGCUGGCCGGGCAGGUAGAGAUCCCUCUUGUCUGCUGCAGAGGAGCUAUGAGACGAUGAGGGAAGAUAGCAACAAGAAGAGCAAGCUUUCAUGGUCCAAGUCCCUCGUGAGGAAGUGGUUCAACAUCAGGAACAAGGCGAACGACUUCCAUGCUGAUCUCGACGCCAGCAGCAAAGGAAGGGAUCACGGUGAUGGUUGUGGAGCACGGAGGGUCAGCUUCUCAGCGAGCGAAGCAAGCACAAGCACACCCAAGAAAAGCAGAACUGACCGGCCAUUGAAGCGGAGUGCCGAUCGUGUUCGCCGCGGGAGGAAUGAUUUCGAUGUGGCACGCAUGACAGAGGUUCAAGAUUACAGAAUCUUUACCGCGACAUGGAAUGUCGGUGGUAAGUCCCCGCUAAGGGGCCUAAAUUUGGAUGAGUGGCUCCAUUCUUCACCUCCCGCCGAUAUCUAUGUAUUAGGAUUUCAGGAGAUUGUUCCGUUGAAUGCUGGAAAUGUUCUCGGUACCGAAGAUAACAUUCCAGCAAAGAAGUGGGUAUCACUUAUUAGGAGGACACUAAACAAGAAUCCUGGGACCAGCGGUUAUGCUGGCUAUCAUACACCUUCACCAGUACUUGAUCCCGUUGUAGAAUUAGAUGCUGAUUUUGAGGGGUCUGCAAGAAGGCAGGAUAACUUCUCAUUAUUCCAGCGCCGAUCAUUCCACAACCUCAGCCGUAGUUUGAGAAUGGAUGACUGCAUGCAACAACCAAGAUUGGAACGCAGGUUCAGCGUGUGUGACCCAGUCAACUUGGGAGGCAGACCGAGUGACUUUGAUGGAAAUUUGCGAUGGACUGGGUCACCAGAUUAUGAGAACAAUGAUGAAGAACUGACCAUUGGCGCACAAUUUUCACCGUUCCCUUACAUCUACAACAUGCCAGGACCUACUGAUGGAAACGAUGAGCAAUCAAAUAACUCCAGGUAUUGUUUGGUAGCCAGCAAACAAAUGGUUGGCAUAUUUCUGACUGUUUGGGUGUGCAAUGAAAUAAGGGAAGAUGUGAGGAAUUUGAAAGUUUCUUGUGUAGGUAGAGGAUUGAUGGGUUAUCUGGGAAAUAAGGGCUCUAUAUCAAUAAGCAUGUCUUUGCACCAGACCAGUUUCUGCUUCAUCUGUUGUCAUUUGACCUCAGGGGAAAAGGAAGGAGAUGAAGUGCGCAGGAAUUCUGAUGUUCUCGAAAUUUUGAGAAAGACUAGAUUUCCACGAGUUCGUGGUGCUGGUGAUUCUAAGUCACCUGAAACAAUUCUUGACCAUGAUCGUAUAAUAUGGCUUGGGGACUUGAACUAUCGGAUUGCCUUAUCAUAUUGUUCAGCAAGAGCUCUUGUUGAAAUGCAUAACUGGAAGCAAUUGCUAGAAAAGGACCAGCUUCGGAUACAACGAAGAUAUGGGCGAGUCUUCCAGGGUUGGAAGGAGGGAAGAAUUUAUUUUCCUCCCACAUACAAGUAUUCAUUCAAUUCCGAUCGGUAUGCUGGAGAGGGCAUGCAUUCCAAAGAGAAGAGGAGAACACCUGCAUGGUGUGAUCGCAUUCUCUGGUACGGAAACGGCCUCAGUCAGCUAUCUUAUGUUCGUGGAGAGUCUCGCUUCUCCGAUCACAGACCAGUAUACAGUAUUUUCAUGGCUGAGGUUGAGAUUGCCCGCCAGAGGAAGAAGAACAUGGGCUAUUUCAGCUCUAGAAUUGAGGUGGAGGAGCUGUUACCACAUUCACGGAGCUACAGAGACAUAAACUUUUACUGAUUUGACUUAUCAAGUUAUCAGCAUGAUUUAAGAUACUCAGGCAAGAAUGUGCAAAUACUAACUUACAGGAUAUCGGGCAAUUUUGCGGACGGCCAUUGUGUCAAAUGGACAAGUACCAGCCCAUGUCACUAACUAUAUAUUUGUGACCCAUCUUUAGCCUUUAGCUUCUCUGAACAAGGCAUCGUUCCAGUUUUUUCCCUUCUUUAUUUAUUAUUGUUUAGAUUGUCCAUAAACACCAUAUUUUAUUUUAUUUUCCUCUUCGGUUUUGUAAGCUUUGUAAACAAACUAGAGUGCCCCUUGCAAGGUGUGGACGAAUUAUUGCAAAACAUGAUACCUGUCCUUAGCUUUAGGACAAGGUGUUCCUAGGCUGAGGGAGGAAUGAUGGGUGUUAGAAGCUUGCAUUGUUCCAA
RNA transcript from Lolium perenne, 2656 nucleotides. It is a transcript of the gene named type I inositol polyphosphate 5-phosphatase 4, with no coding region annotated. Lineage: Eukaryota; Viridiplantae; Streptophyta; Magnoliopsida; Poales; Poaceae. The record is from RefSeq and is a predicted model, not a curated record.